Molecule: ribosomal RNA, 500 nt
Filed under: uncultured bacterium
Lineage: Bacteria
Description: bacterial SSU rRNA
Rfam family: Bacterial small subunit ribosomal RNA
Source: RNAcentral
CACGACUACGAGUUUGAUCAUGGCUCAGAUUGAACGCUGGCGGCAGGCUUAACACAUGCAAGUCGAGCGGAGACUUCGGUCUUAGCGGCGAACGGGUGAGUAAUACCUAGGAAUCUGCCUAUUAGUGGGGGAUAACGAAUCGAAAGGUUCGCUAAUACCGCAUACGUCCUACGGGAGAAAGGGGGGGAUCUUCGGACCUCUCGCUAAUAGAUGAGCCUAGGCCGGAUUAGCUAGUUGGUAGGGUAAAGGCCUACCAAGGCGACGAUCUGUAGCUGGUCUGAGAGGAUGGCCAGCCACACUGGAACUGAGACACGGUCCAGACUCCUACGGGAGGCAGCAGUGGGGAAUAUUGGACAAUGGGCGCAAGCCUGAUCCAGCCAUGCCGCGUGUGUGAAGAAGGCCUUCGGGUUGUAAAGCACUUUAAGCGAGGAGGAAGGUCUUUGAACUAAUAUUUCAAAGAAUUGACGUUACUCGCAGAAUAAGCACCGGCUAACUCUGUG